AUUCAGAAAGAGCUCUUAGGCAUCAACUAACCGGGCUAUUUUGGAAAGCGUUUGCAUUUUUGCCAGCUGGCUGCUAUUUUGAGUGAUUAUCUAGUUAUAACAACCCAAAGCUGCCUCCAGAAAACCUCCAAGAAACCCGCUUUCUCCCAGAGAGAACUCAUUUUAAAGAAAAAACACCAACAUUUUGGUGCCCUCAACGUGGGACAAAAUCCUGAUUUCACUGCAAGAGCUCUGAUCCUGAAUCCAGUGGAAAAGUCUUCUCAACCCAGAAAUAAGGGCGAGUACAAAGAAAUUGUUAAAGAGUUGAAGUAGACUUCCAAGAUGGCAACAUCUCUGGGCUCCAACACCUACAACAGGCAGAACUGGGAGGACACGGACUUCCCUAUUCUGUGUCAGACGUGCCUUGGAGAAAAUCCUUACAUCCGGAUGACCAAAGAAAAAUAUGGAAGAGAAUGCAAAAUUUGUGCCAGGCCAUUCACAGUGUUCCGCUGGUGCCCCGGUGUUCGCAUGCGUUUUAAGAAGACUGAAGUGUGCCAAACCUGCAGCAAGCUAAAAAAUGUAUGUCAGACCUGCCUUUUGGACCUAGAAUAUGGCUUACCUAUUCAGGUCCGUGAUGCAGGACUCUCCUGUAAGGAUGACAUACCUAAAUCUGAUGUGAACAAAGAAUAUUAUACCCAGAAUGUUGAGCGAGAGAUUGCUAACUCUGACGGAACUCUGCCAGUUGGUGUUCUUGGAAAAGCUACAGCUCCAAGUGACAUGCUGCUUAAAUUGGCUCGGACGACCCCUUAUUAUAAGCGGAAUCGUCCUCACGUUUGUUCCUUCUGGGUGAAAGGAGGAUGUAAAAGAGGAGAUGAGUGUCCAUACAGACAUCAGAAGCCUACAGACCCCGAUGAUCCUCUUGCCGAUCAGAACAUCAAAGAUCGAUAUUAUGGCAUUAAUGAUCCUGUGGCAGAUAAGCUUCUAAAACGGGCUUCAACAAUGCCUCGCCUGGACCCUCCAGAUGACAAGACCAUAACCACUCUGUACGUUGGUGAUCUGGGAAAUACAGUUAGUGAGACGGAUCUCAGAAAUCGCUUUUACCACUUUGGUGAGAUCCGAACAAUAACAGUUGUACAGAGACAACAAUGUGCUUUCAUCCAGUUUGCUACAAGGCAAGCUGCAGAGAUGGCUGCAAAGAAGUCCUUCAAUAAACUGAUUGUAAAUGGGCGCAGGCUUAAUGUGAAAUGGGGAAGAUCUCAAGCAACCAGAGGAAAAGAAGAAGGAACCACAGACUCUGGAAUUAAGCUGGAUCCUGUCCCAGGACUUCCCGGAGCUCUUCCUCCUCCUCCAGUAGCUGAAGAAGCCGCCUCUAACAAUUACUUUAAUUUCCCUCCCAGUGGUUUUCCAGCCGGGGUUCAUAUUGCCCUGCCGCCACCUCCUGGCAUUGCACCUCCUCCCCCACCAGGUUUUGGACCACACAUGUUCCACCCGAUGGGACCACCACCUCCCUUCAUGGGAGCUCCAGGACCCAUCCACUAUCCUUCUCAAGAUCCCCAGAGGAUGGGGGCUCAUGCAGGAAAACACAGCAGUCCCUAACAUCCUGCUACAAUGGUUGGGCUCUCAGGAGAAAAAGCGCUUUAGAAAUGUAAUAAUUAAAUCUUGGAGUAAAUAUUUUUUUCCUUUGUAAGUUUCCAUGGUGACAUAACAUGCUAAGUUAUGGGAAGAGCUGAAACAGAGUUCCCAAGCACAGGGCAGGUGGAGAAGCCCUGCCAAACUCAUAUUAACAAGUAUGGUCACCGAUGUAACAAUGUCCUUUGCUUCUUAAUCACAGGAAAAAAAGUGUUAGGAUGAGUGUGAAACUUCUGGGAAUCUUUGGGAGAUUUGUAAUUCCAAUUGUAUGUAUUUGUGUGUUGGGUUUGACCAAACUUUGACCUAGGGUGAAAGCAAAUGUUUGACAAUAUUUUUAAAAUAAUUCUUUUGCUUGUACUAGGAAUUAAGGAGUCAUUAAGUAGAAUUUCAGUUAAGAUGGGACAGAUGUUUAGAAAACAGCCUUCUGUUUCUGUGCAAGGAAAAUGUUUAGAGAGCAUUGUUAAGGUUAUGGAAAGCCAACGGAGCAGAUCACUAAAUUUUUAGAAAUUUAACAUAUAUCCCUUAUACUAUGACAAAUUUAACAUAUGGGACUGCUUGUCAUCUAGGGCAGGGGGUGGAGGGAG
Molecule: RNA transcript, 2192 nt
Organism: Sarcophilus harrisii (Tasmanian devil)
Lineage: Eukaryota; Metazoa; Chordata; Mammalia; Dasyuromorphia; Dasyuridae
Gene name: pre-mRNA-splicing factor RBM22 pseudogene
Exons: 1
Source: RefSeq, a predicted model, not a curated record